UAUGGAGAGUUUGAUCCUGGCUCAGGACGAACGCUGGCGGCGUGCCUUACACAUGCAAGUCGUGCGAGAACGGUUCCUUCGGGAACCUAGUAGAGCGGCGAACGGGUGAGUAAUACGUGAGCGAUCUGCCCGAAGGUGGGGGAUACCCCAGGGAAACCUGGACCAAUACCGCGUACAGCGUCGGGAGUGGAUGCCCGACGUGAAAGCCGGCCUCUUCGAUGCUGGCGCCCUCGGAUGAGCUCGCGGCCUAUCAGCUUGUUGGUGGGGUAACGGCCUACCAAGGCUAUGACGGGUAGCUGACGUGAGAGCGUGAUCAGCCACAUUGGGACUGAGACACGGCCCAGACUCCUACGGGAGGCAGCAGUGGGGAAUAUUGC
RNAcentral lists this ribosomal RNA (377 nucleotides) under Gemmatimonadales bacterium. RNAcentral describes it as "bacterial SSU rRNA". It matches the Rfam family "Bacterial small subunit ribosomal RNA", at positions 1 to 367 of the family's 1533-position model. The record is from RNAcentral. Lineage: Bacteria; Pseudomonadati; Gemmatimonadota; Gemmatimonadia; Gemmatimonadales.